GAUGAACGCUGGCGGCGUGCCUAAUACAUGCAAGUCGAACGCUGGAGCUCUAGCUUGCUAGAUCGAAGGAGUGGCGAACGGGUGAGUAAUACAUAAGCAACCUACCCACGAAGACUGGGAUAAUCUCUGGAAACGGGGACUAAUACCGGAUAGGUAAUCGGAAGGCAUCUUCUGGUUAUUAAAGGUUAAAAACACUGGUGGAUGGGCUUAUGGCGCAUUAGUUAGUUGGUGAGGUAACGGCCCACCAAGACGAUGAUGCGUAGCCGGCCUGAGGGGGUGAACGGCCACAUUGGGACUGAGACACGGCCCAGACUCCUACGGGAGGCAGCAGUAGGGAAUUUUCGGCAAUGGGGGCAACCCUGACCGAGCAACGCCGCGUGAGUGAAGACGGCCUUCGGGUUGUAAAGCUCUGUUGUAAGGGAAGAACGGUAGAUAGAGAAUAUCUAAGUGACGGUACCUUACCAGAAAGCCACGGCUAACUACGUG
Molecule: ribosomal RNA, 486 nt
Filed under: uncultured bacterium
Lineage: Bacteria
Description: partial 16S ribosomal RNA
Rfam family: Bacterial small subunit ribosomal RNA
Source: RNAcentral